Long non-coding RNA from Lathyrus oleraceus (garden pea), 1329 nucleotides. RefSeq lists it as uncharacterized. The transcript is spliced from 3 exons. The record is from RefSeq and is a predicted model, not a curated record. NCBI's taxonomy places the organism in Eukaryota, Viridiplantae, Streptophyta, Magnoliopsida, Fabales, Fabaceae.
AAUCAAGAGAUCUAAUUUAGCCUAAUCAAAAUUGUAACGAACAUCCAGACGUGUGGGCCUUAUGGGCAAGGCCCGCUGGAAUGUGCUUCAGCUCAGGGGAUGUAGAAGCAAUGUUAUGGUGAUAAUGCAGCAAUUCAUGCCUAGGCCCAAGCUUAAUAAGGCAAAUGGAUUACAUUCAGGAUUCAAUUCAAACAAGCUUCACCGUGUUCUAAACAACUCUCUCCACCGGGUAACUCUGGUUGUCGCCUCUGUUGCGCCGGAAAUCGCCUCUGGCGGCGGAGGAGGUUCAAACACUCCAAAUUACACCUUAUCUUCUUCAUGUCUCUCUGCUCUGCCUAAACCCUAACUUAAUUUCUUUUAAUUCUACGCUGAACAUCCAAAUCGAAGCUUACCAUGGAUGAACCCUAAAUUUCAAACCUUGCAAUUGAAUGCCAUGGAAUAAUGAUCUGGAGUCCAAACCACAGGGUUUGGUUCCUUAUACAAAGGUUUACAUCAUAGUAUAGAGGAACGACCAGGGAGAAUGAUGUUCACCAACCUUCAAAGAAGAGACAUGCUUUGGUGUUUGUUGAAACCGGCGAAGAAGACACACCUCAAGAAAAUACCAGAGAAGGAAGAAUAUUCAGACAGAUUGAAGAAUUCGUCUUCUGCAGUUCCCACGAAGGACGAAAAAAGAGAGAGAACGAGAAAUUAUGACUUCAGAAAACCAGCACCUCUCGAUCUGUGAGUGAAGAUGUAUUUAUAGAAUUUUUCGUUCUUCCCAUUUCUGUUAGAGAUGCAGAUCAAAUUCAUCUGAAAUUCAAUAGGUCAGUUAGAAAUUAACUUUCUGUUAAUUCCCAUUUCAGUUAGCUUUCAAAACCUUCUUUCUGUGUGAUAUUUCUUCUUCUCUUUGCAUGUGAUUGAGAGGGGUGCAGUGAAGAGUGAGUUUCUAAGCUUUGUGAUCUCUGAAGUGUCAAACGUAUGAAGAAUUUGUGUAUUCUCUAAGAUUCUGUUUGGAGAUUUUUAUGAACUCCCUAAUCUGAAGCAUGGAAUGUAGCUGGUGUUGAUUCCUUCAUUUGUCAAAUAUUGAUCCUGAUAUCUGUCAUAGCAGGAAUGCGAUCAUAGUGUUAACUUUUUCUUUUUGUGCUUAGUUUUGGAUGAAAUCACAUGGUGAGCUUAUCUUGUCCGUGUGGAUGUGUGGUUGAAUACUAGUGUUUAGGAACUUGGAUUAGGAAUUAGAACUUAGGUCACAUGGUAGUUUAUACUUGUGCUUGGAUUUAUUCAUUUGUAAUGUAUUUACAUGGAUUAUGUACGUGAACCUUUAAUGAAUAAAAGUUGAAUUUUGAAUGAAAA